Long non-coding RNA from Mytilus trossulus (common blue mussel), 850 nucleotides. RefSeq lists it as uncharacterized. The transcript is spliced from 6 exons. Lineage: Eukaryota; Metazoa; Mollusca; Bivalvia; Mytilida; Mytilidae. The record is from RefSeq and is a predicted model, not a curated record.
AAUACACCAUAGAUCUAAAGCCUGUUACCGUCUGUAUUAUCUAAGUCGUCAGAAAAUGUAGAUGCGAGUGAAGUCCUCAGAAAAUGUAGAUGAGAAUGGAAUUGUAAGACAAUCAAAGAAAAUGAAAAAAAGAACAAGAACAGCUUAACUGCAAGAAAAGAUCACAACUGUAUCUCACUUCAGUUCCAGGUGAUGUUGACUAUCAAGUUAAAUGCUUUAACCGAGGCUCCUGUCGAUAACGAAUCAACCAAAAAGGCUGUUUUCCGAAAAAUGAAAGGGACAUCUGCCCCCAAAAAAGGAUGACAAUGAAAAAACUAAAGAAUUUAUUGGCCAUGUUAUAGGCGAACUAAAUAAAACAAAUGUUAACAAGGCAAUGCAUGGGAAAGUUUUGAGGCCUUUUGGAAGACAAUAGAGACAAUGCUGCCAGGUAAUGAUUUAUUAGACACAUCACACGUAUUAUCUUAACUUCAAACAUGUUUGAUCAUUUGCUUAAAACAUAUAACCUACUUGAGACAGCAAACAGACCUAGUCAAAUGUAUAUAUAUAGCCAAUUUAUCUGUUUGACAAAAUCUUCAUAAGGAAUAGGUAUUAGUUAUAUUAAAUUAUAUACAUUUGGUAACAUCAGUAUCUUUGCAAAACAUAUCAAGAGCAAACUGUAUAUGUCCUACUUUUAAAGCCUUUAUGCACCAAUGUAACAUAUAAAUUUUUUGAAUGAAUAUCAAGAAAAAGCAGUUUUUCUAAAUCAGUAUAAUAUUUCAUUAUUUUGGUCAUUGAAAUAGUUUACGAAUGGAUUCUUUCUUUCUGUGGGUCGAUUUGAAACUGCCAUCAUCAUUAACUUUUCGCCCCUGUU